This 253-nucleotide ribosomal RNA is filed under the name uncultured bacterium. RNAcentral describes it as "partial 16S ribosomal RNA". It matches the Rfam family "Bacterial small subunit ribosomal RNA", at positions 524 to 776 of the family's 1533-position model. The record is from RNAcentral.
GACAGAGGUGCCGAGCGUUAGGCGGAAUCACUGGGCUUAAAGCGUGUGUAGGCGGGCGGGCAAGUACCUUGUGAAAUCCCACGGCUCAACCGCGGAACGGCUGGGUAUACUGCCUGUCUUGAGCCAGCUAGGGGCGAGCGGAACAGACGGUGGAGCGGUGAAAUGCGUAGAUAUCGUCUGGAACGCCGAAGGUGAAAACAGCUCGCUGGGGCUGUGCUGACGCUGAGACACGAAAGCCAGGGGAUCGAACGGG